UUGUUUAAAAUGCAGAAGAAUGGACGUUGACAAUGAUCGCAGAUGGCAAAUCGCCUGGUAUGAGCCGAAAUUAUGCUGUGCAAAGACAAAUUAUAUAAGCUUUCAUCCAGAAAUGGCCAGCUUGCUAUGUAUGUUUUCAGUUUUAAAGAUAAAUCCUGGACUGGAUUGAUAGAGAAAUAACCGCACCAUUCAAAAACAGUAAUUUUAAUGUGGUUUACGCACCUGAAGAUUGUUUAUACAUAUGCGGAGCAAGUGAAUUAUUUGUUAUGAAAAAUGAUUGGAUAUUUUUUAUAGAAGCUCGCAAAUGGCAGCCUGUUGCUCCAAUGAAACAGUCGCGAUUUUGUCCUACAAUUGUUGCUUUGCAAAGAUUUUUGUUACGCAAUAUAGGAGGUGGAAGAGAUUUCCUAUCAAAUUGUCCAACUGUAA
Long non-coding RNA from Nasonia vitripennis (jewel wasp), 426 nucleotides. RefSeq lists it as uncharacterized. The record is from RefSeq and is a predicted model, not a curated record. The transcript has 2 exons. Lineage: Eukaryota; Metazoa; Arthropoda; Insecta; Hymenoptera; Pteromalidae.